UGGGGAAUAUUGCACAAUGGGCGCAAGCCUGAUGCAGCCAUGCCGCGUGUAUGAAGAAGGCCUUCGGGUUGUAAAGUACUUUCAGUCGGGAGGAAGGUGGUAAGGUUAAUAACCUUAUCAAUUGACGUUACCGACAGAAGAAGCACCGUCUAACUCCGUGCCAGCAGCCGCGGUAAUACGGAGGGUGCAAGCGUUAAUCGGAAUUACUGGGCGUAAAGCGCACGCAGGCGGUUGAUUGAGUCAGAUGUGAAAUCCCCGGGCUUAACCCGGGAAUUGCAUCUGAUACUGGUCAGCUAGAGUCUUGUAGAGGGGGGUAGAAUUCCAUGUGUAGCGGUGAAAUGCGUAGAGAUCUGGAGGAAUACCGGUGGCGAAGGCGGCCCCCUGGACAAAGACUGACGCUCAGGUGCGAAAGCGUGGGGAGCAAACAGG
This 429-nucleotide ribosomal RNA is filed under the name Chloroflexota bacterium. Its description in RNAcentral is "Chloroflexi bacterium partial 16S ribosomal RNA". It matches the Rfam family "Bacterial small subunit ribosomal RNA", at positions 355 to 776 of the family's 1533-position model. Lineage: Bacteria; Bacillati; Chloroflexota. The record is from RNAcentral.